UCCUCUGUAGUUCAGUCGGUAGAACGGCGGACUGUUAAUCCGUAUGUCACUGGUUCGAGUCCAGUCAGAGG
This 71-nucleotide transfer RNA is filed under the name Cronobacter sakazakii. RNAcentral's name for it is "tRNA-Asn". It matches the Rfam family "tRNA". Rfam says of the family: Transfer RNA (tRNA) molecules are approximately 80 nucleotides in length. The record is from RNAcentral. RNAcentral also lists the same sequence under 6 other names. Lineage: Bacteria; Pseudomonadati; Pseudomonadota; Gammaproteobacteria; Enterobacterales; Enterobacteriaceae.